This 464-nucleotide long non-coding RNA is filed under the name Setaria italica (foxtail millet). RNAcentral's name for it is "long non-coding RNA (SITA_LNC005581)". Lineage: Eukaryota; Viridiplantae; Streptophyta; Magnoliopsida; Poales; Poaceae. The record is from RNAcentral.
GAGCAGCUGGUUUCAGGCUUGGCGCACUUGGAAUGUAAUGUGGGAUCUGGAAAGUUGCAUAUGCACUCCCAGGAUUGGUGGGUUGAAGACCUUUCUGCACUGAGAAUCGACCACUAUCGGCGUGUGAUUGCUGCAAUGAGGAGAAAUGGGGUGAGGCCAGAGAGUAUUGGCACCUCUAUUACACACUAUGCCCAGACAUCGCUAAAGGGUGUUGAAAGACGCCAUGUAUGGGACUCAGGUCCCUUUGUCGGAGACGAUCAAAGAAUGAUAGUCGAAACACUCAUCGAUCUGUUGGCAGCUGAAAAUAUUACGACGGUUACCUUGUCAUUCUUGUUUGGCAUGCUGAGGAUGGCAAUUGAAGUUGAUGCAAGUCUAGAUUGUAGAAUCGAAGUCGAGAAAAGGAUUGGUCUCCAGCUUGAGAUGGCAUCACUAGACGAUCUCCUGAUCCCCUCGACGCAAACAAG